UUUCUACCUAUUUGCAGGAAACAGGACUCUUAAUCCGUAGGUCGAGUGUUCGAGUCACUCACGCCCCACCA
This 71-nucleotide transfer RNA is filed under the name Paraburkholderia tropica. RNAcentral describes it as "tRNA-Lys". The record is from RNAcentral. Lineage: Bacteria; Pseudomonadati; Pseudomonadota; Betaproteobacteria; Burkholderiales; Burkholderiaceae.